AGAGUUUGAUCAUGGCUCAGAUUGAACGCUGGCGGCAGGCCUAACACAUGCAAGUCGAACGGUAACAGGAAGCAGCUUGCUGCUUCGCUGACGAGUGGCGGACGGGUGAGUAAUGUCUGGGAAACUGCCUGAUGGAGGGGGAUAACUACUGGAAACGGUGGCUAAUACCGCAUAACGUCGCAAGACCAAAGAGGGGGACCUUCGGGCCUCUUGCCAUCAGAUGUGCCCAGAUGGGAUUAGCUAGUUGGUGAGGUAACGGCUCACCAAGGCGACGAUCCCUAGCUGGUCUGAGAGGAUGACCAGCCACACUGGAACUGAGACACGGUCCAGACUCCUACGGGAGGCAGCAGUGGGGAAUAUUGCACAAUGGGCGCAAGCCUGAUGCAGCCAUGCCGCGUGUAUGAAGAAGGCCUUCGGGUUGUAAAGUACUUUCAGCGGGGAGGAAGGUGUUGUGGUUAAUAACCGCAGCAAUUGACGUUACCCGCAGAAGAAGCACCGGCUAACUCCGUGCCAGCAGCCGCGGUAAUACGGAGGGUGCAAGCGUUAAUCGGAAUUACUGGGCGUAAAGCGCACGCAGGCGGUCUGUCAAGUCGGAUGUGAAAUCCCCGGGCUCAACCUGGGAACUGCAUUCGAAACUGGCAGGCUUGAGUCUUGUAGAGGGGGGUAGAAUUCCAGGUGUAGCGGUGAAAUGCGUAGAGAUCUGGAGGAAUACCGGUGGCGAAGGCGGCCCCCUGGACAAAGACUGACGCUCAGGUGCGAAAGCGUGGGGAGCAAACAGGAUUAGAUACCCUGGUAGUCCACGCCGUAAACGAUGUCUACUUGGAGGUUGUGCCCUUGAGGCGUGGCUUCCGGAGCUAACGCGUUAAGUAGACCGCCUGGGGAGUACGGCCGCAAGGUUAAAACUCAAAUGAAUUGACGGGGGCCCGCACAAGCGGUGGAGCAUGUGGUUUAAUUCGAUGCAACGCGAAGAACCUUACCUGGUCUUGACAUCCACAGAAGAAUCCAGAGAUGGAUUGGUGCCUUCGGGAACUGUGAGACAGGUGCUGCAUGGCUGUCGUCAGCUCGUGUUGUGAAAUGUUGGGUUAAGUCCCGCAACGAGCGCAACCCUUAUCCUUUGUUGCCAGCGGUUAGGCCGGGAACUCAAAGGAGACUGCCAGUGAUAAACUGGAGGAAGGUGGGGAUGACGUCAAGUCAUCAUGGCCCUUACGACCAGGGCUACACACGUGCUACAAUGGCGCAUACAAAGAGAAGCGACCUCGCGAGAGCAAGCGGACCUCAUAAAGUGCGUCGUAGUCCGGAUUGGAGUCUGCAACUCGACUCCAUGAAGUCGGAAUCGCUAGUAAUCGUGGAUCAGAAUGCCACGGUGAAUACGUUCCCGGGCCUUGUACACACCGCCCGUCACACCAUGGGAGUGGGUUGCAAAAGAAGUAGGUAGCUUAACCUUCGGGAGGGCGCUUACCACUUUGUGAUUCAUGACUGGGGUGAAGUCGUAACAAGGUAACCGUAGGGGAACCUGCGGUUGGAUCACCU
Molecule: ribosomal RNA, 1530 nt
Filed under: Salmonella enterica subsp. enterica serovar Typhimurium
Lineage: Bacteria; Pseudomonadati; Pseudomonadota; Gammaproteobacteria; Enterobacterales; Enterobacteriaceae
Description: bacterial SSU rRNA
Rfam family: Bacterial small subunit ribosomal RNA
Source: RNAcentral